AAGCACUCCCCCAUCCCACAGGUCUGCAGCGACUGCACCAGUUGCUCGAGCUCUUCCCACUACAGGAGCUCAGAACUGACAAGAACCCUGACCAAAGCAGUAACUCCUGGUUCUGCUGGUGCACCUCUUGUACCUGGAGCUGGCUCUCCAUCUGGCUGAGACGUCAUCUUUAACACUUCAAAACAAGCCUAAGGAGAAAAGAUUUUGGUGAUGUGACAUGAAAACAGACAGCACAAAUAUAGACCAGGAUGACAGAAGAUGUGCACGCUGGGUGUUGAAUAUCAUUUGGAAACCAAACCACAGUUACUUGACAGUCCAGGAAAUUUUUCACAGCUGAGCCAUUGUGUUUUCUUCAGAAGUUAGAAAUAAGAUUGGCAGAUUCAUGUCCGUAUUCACCCACGCAGCAAAGUACGGGAAGAACUGCAUUAUUUCAUCCCACUCUUCAUGCAUGUUCAAAAUAGUUGAUGGGUGAAGGAAUGCUGGCUGGUUUUACGCUAAGAAAAAAGCUUCCACAAGUUCACAUCCAGUACAGUGAGUACACUUUUAUUUUUGCUAGAUGGUCUGCUGGUUUCUCCAGUCUUCUUAUGUAACACGAGGGAACAUUUUGUUUGAAUUUCUGUAACUGCCUAUUUUCUGUGUUCAGAGGAGUAGAUUCCCUUACAUAUGGGGUAUUUUUAACUGGGUAAUGUAACUCAGAGUAAUAACACAUAAAAACAAUCUUCUGUGUUGGCUGUUUGAAAGAAAGCUGUUUGUUCAUUAGAUAUGUUAGAAACAUAAUAAUCCCAUUUGGUAGUUAGUUUUUCAUCAGACUGUGA
Long non-coding RNA from Lagopus leucura (white-tailed ptarmigan), 815 nucleotides. RefSeq lists it as uncharacterized. The transcript has 4 exons. The record is from RefSeq and is a predicted model, not a curated record. NCBI's taxonomy places the organism in Eukaryota, Metazoa, Chordata, Aves, Galliformes, Phasianidae.